GACGAACGCUGGCGGCGUGCUUAACACAUGCAAGUCGAACGGAAAGGCCCUGCUUUUGUGGGGUGCUCGAGUGGCGAACGGGUGAGUAACACGUGAGUAACCUGCCCUUGACUUUGGGAUAACUUCAGGAAACUGGGGCUAAUACCGGAUAGGAGCUCCUGCUGCAUGGUGGGGGUUGGAAAGUUUCGGCGGUUGGGGAUGGACUCGCGGCUUAUCAGCUUGUUGGUGGGGUAGUGGCUUACCAAGGCUUUGACGGGUAGCCGGCCUGAGAGGGUGACCGGCCACAUUGGGACUGAGAUACGGCCCAGACUCCUACGGGAGGCAGCAGGGGGGAAUAUUGCACAAAGGGGGGAAGCCUGAUGCAGCAACGCCGCGUGCGGGAAGAAGGCCUUCGGGUUGUAAACCGCUUUCGCCUGUGACGAAGCGGGAGUGACGGUAAUGGGUAAAGAAGCACCGACUAACUACGUG
Molecule: ribosomal RNA, 468 nt
Filed under: uncultured bacterium
Lineage: Bacteria
Description: partial 16S ribosomal RNA
Rfam family: Bacterial small subunit ribosomal RNA
Source: RNAcentral